This 1938-nucleotide ribosomal RNA is filed under the name Triticum aestivum (bread wheat). RNAcentral describes it as "partial small subunit ribosomal RNA". Lineage: Eukaryota; Viridiplantae; Streptophyta; Magnoliopsida; Poales; Poaceae. The record is from RNAcentral.
AUGAACCUUGCCGAUAAUGAUCUAUUGGGAACCAUCCCUAGAGAGUUGGGUAAGCUCCCAAACCUCCAUACACUGAAUCUUUCCAAUAGCAAUUUUGAAGGUAACAUCCCUGAUUCAUUAGGCACUAGCAAUUCACUUAGCUAUGUCAAUCUUGGAAAUAACACUCUUACCGGCGGUAUCCCUCUCUCAUUGACCAAUUGCUCCUCACUCAACACACUUAUACUGUCACGUAAUAACCUCUCUGGAGAGAUCCCUUCUACUUUGUUUGAUAACUUAUCUAAGCUUACUAAGGUUGAUCUCCAGAAGAAUUCUUUCACUGGUCUCAUCCCACGUUUCCAUAAGGUCACAGCACUCAAAUUUCUUUGCCUGACGGAGAACUUCCUCUCUGGAAGCAUACCUCCUUCAAUAGGAAAUGUUUCUUCCCUCACUUCUAUAUUGCUCGGCCAAAAUAUGCUAUCAGGAUUAAUUCCAGAAACUGUAGGUCACACUACAAAACUGCUUGAGCUUGACCUAAGUUUCAACAGUUUCUCAGGGAGUGUCCCGUUGUCCAUUUCCUAUUGGUCACACUACAAAACAAGAUUCAUUUACAACAUGACAUCACUCAAAAACUUUAGUGUUGGCAGCAACGGCCUUGUUGGACAGUUACCAUCUUACAUUGGCCACUCACUACCAAAGCUCCAGUCCCUAAUUAUGGGAAGCAACAGGCUGGAGGGCCUGAUCCCUACUUCACUAGCCAACAUGUCCAAUCUUCAAAUGCUUGAUCUUUCAAACAACUCCUUGCAUGGCUUUGUUCCAUCUCUUGGUUCUUUGGCAAACUUGCGUCGGUUAGUUUUGGGGAGUAACUUGCUAGAAGCACAUGACUGGUCAUUUCUUACAUCUCUAGCGAAUUGCACCCAGCUGACAAAGUUGUCCUUGGAAGGGAAUGCUCUGAAUGGCAGCUUACCUAUAGCAGUUGUUAAUCUUUCCACAAGGAUACAAGAUUUGUCGCUUGGGUCAAACCAAAUUUCAGGCUCCAUACCUGUUGAAAUUAGCAAUCUUGUUAAUCUCACUUUACUUAGGAUGGAAAACAAUUUUCUUUCUGGAAACAUACCUUCUACAAUUGGUAAGCUGCAAAACCUAUAUAUCCUAAAUCUGUCAAAGAACAAAUUAUCAGGUCAGAUCCCUCCUUCAGUUGGUGAUAUUACUCAACUGGGCAAACUUUAUCUUAGUGAUAACAAGUUGACUGGUAACAUACCUGGUAGUUUAGGUCAGUGCAAGGGACUUCUUGAACUCAACUUGUCUCGAAACAACCUCAAUGGGUCAAUACCAGUCGAACUCUUUGCUAACCCUCCAUUCUCCCUCGGUCUGGACUUCUCACACAAUAAUCUCACUGGGGAACUGCCACUGGAACUUGGUACAGUUGGUGCUGGUGCUGGUCCAACAUCCCUUCACAUGGAAGGAAACAAGUUUCAUGGACAAAUUCCAGCAAGAUGGCAGUUAGUAUCAACCGUGCAGAUUAAUCUUUCUCACAAUGACUUAUCCGGUGCCGUGCCUGAAUUCUUUGAGCACCUUCGUAUGCUGGAGCAACUUGAUCUAUCUUACAACAACUUAGAAGGGGCUGUUCCUACAAGUGGGAUCUUUGAGAAUUCUACCGCAGUACUUUUGGAUAAUAACAAGGGACUCUGUUCGAAUUCCUCCAGGCUGGCAUUACCAAUUUGUCCUGGCAUCUCAGCUUCAGCAAAUAAAACAAAGCAUCAUUUGUCCUUGCUGGCAACCUUGCUGCUAAUUGUACUACCACCACUUACUAUUGCUUUCCUAGUCUUGCUAUGGUUUCUACCCACUCUUUGGAAGAGAGCGGUAUUCUCAUUUUUACAAUUGGCUGUUGUGUCCAAGAAGAUGUUUCGGUUUUUUUGCCCACCAGAAGAGAAGAGAAAUGCAUACAGUUCCGUUCAACGAUGA